Molecule: ribosomal RNA, 1345 nt
Filed under: uncultured bacterium
Lineage: Bacteria
Description: 16S ribosomal RNA
Rfam family: Bacterial small subunit ribosomal RNA
Source: RNAcentral
GAAUGAACGUUGGCGGCGUGGAUUAGGCAUGCAAGUCGAACGCGAAAGGGGGGCAACUCCCAAGUAGCGUGGCGUAAGGGGUAGUAAUGCCUGGGCAACCUGCCUUCCGGCCCGGGACAUACGGUCGAAAGACCGGGCAAGACUGGACAUCGACCAAGAGGGGCAUCCCUUUUGGUUGAAACGUAAGGCCGGAAGAGGGGCUCAAGUCCUAUCAGCUUGUUGGCGGGGUAACGGCCCACCAAGGCAACGACGGGUAGGGGGCGUGAGAGCGCGACCCCCACCACUGGCACUGAGACACUGGCCAGACUCCUACGGGAGGCUGCAGUCGAGAAUCUUCGGCAAUGGGCGCAAGCCUGACCGAGCGACGCCGCGUGCGGGAAGAAGGCCCUCGGGUUGUAAACCGCUGUUGGGGGGGAGGAAAACCGACCGAACCCCUGAGGAAGCACGGGCUAAGUUCGUGCCAGCAGCCGCGGUAAGACGAACCGUGCAAACGUUAUUCGGAUUCAUUGGGCUUAAAGGGCGCGUAGGCGGCUUGACAAGUCUGAGGUGAAAACCCAUCGGCUCAACCGUGGAAGUGCCUCAGAAACUGUCGGGCUUGAGGGGGAUAGGGGCGCGUGGAACUCCCGGUGGAGCGGUGAAAUGUGUUGAGAUCGGGGGGAACGCCGGCGGCGAAAGCGGCGCGCUGGAUCUUUUCUGACGCUGAGGCGCGAAAGCCAGGGGAGCGAACGGGAUUAGAUACCCCGGUAGUCCUGGCCCUAAACGAUGGGCACUGAGUAGGAAGGGCUCCGAUGGCCCCUCCUGCUGGAGCGAAAGUGUUAAGUGCCCCGCCUGGGGAGUAUGGUCGCAAGGCUGAAACUCAAAGGAAUUGACGGGGGCUCACACCAGCGGUGGAGCAUGUGGCUUAAUUCGAGGCUACGCGAAGAACCUUAUCCUAGGCUUGACAUGCACGGAUUAGCCGGCUGAAAGGUCGGUGACACCGCAAGGUGGAACGUGCACAGGUGCUGCAUGGCUGUCGUCAGCUCGUGUCGUGAGAUGUCGGGUUAAGUCCCUUAACGAGCGAAACCCUUGUCCCUAGUUACCAGCGGGUUAUGCCGGGCACUCUAGGGAGACUGCCGGUGUCAAACCGGAGGAAGGUGGGGAUGACGUCAAGUCCUCAUGGCCCUUAUGCCUAGGGCUGCACACGUGCUACAAUGGGAUGGACAAAGGGAUGCGAGGCCGCGAGGUCAGGCAAAUCCCAAAAACCCUCCCCCAGUUCAGAUUGCGGGCUGCAACUCGCCCGCAUGAAGCCGGAAUCGCUAGUAAUCGCGGGUCAGCCACACCGCGGUGAAUGUGUUCCUGAGCCUUG